This 4851-nucleotide long non-coding RNA is filed under the name Populus tremula. RNAcentral's name for it is "long non-coding RNA (PTRE_LNC000761)". The record is from RNAcentral. Lineage: Eukaryota; Viridiplantae; Streptophyta; Magnoliopsida; Malpighiales; Salicaceae.
GGUAAAUAAGAUUAAAAUUGACUCACACUAAAUUUUAUUUUUUUAAUUUAAAUAAUAUUAUUUUUCCACUUUUAGAUGUCAUGAUCAUUUUUUUUUUAUCUAUUUACUAUCACUGCAAUUUUUUCAUUUGAUGAAAACAAACCAGCUUAUUUAAUUAGUAACAACUAUUACCUGAGUAAUAUAGUAUUCUUCUUGUGUUUUUUUUUUUAAAUGCGCCUGAGGCGACUUAGAUCAAAAAAGGAAGAAUAUAGUCUGUCAGACAACCGCAUGACCAUCCCCAGCCAAAUCAAUGAUUGGAGAACGAUCCUCUACAGCCAUGAUAAUCACGAGGAUCAUCAAGCCAUUACUCACGCUAUGAUCACACGGUCAUGAUUCAUCAACCAGACUUAGGUUCCUGUCUCCUUAGUGUUAAAGGAUACAGAGGUACGAUCCUAUAGAACAGAUCCUGUUCAAGUAAGGUCGUGACUAAGCUUGUUCCUCCAACGCUUUAUUACAACCUGUACUCCUUCGUUUGUUUCCGAUGUGGGAUUCUUGUUAAUGCUUCGUUCCAGGGUAUAUUUGUCCAGAAGAAGAAAGUUGGAGGACUCGUGCUUCUCAAAGUCCUGAUAAAAUCCAGAGGAGAGUGCAGUGAAAGUACUAGGAUACCCCCUGAGCUGCGGCGUUGUUAUUGCGGUAGUAUUUGUUAAUUUUAUAGGGACAACUAGCAGGAGGCUUCUUUGGAGUGUAAUAGUCAAGAGUUUCAAGCCUUUACAGGUUUUCCAUUACACUUUACGCUUUGCAGUCGCCAUACUGAUGACAUUAGAGCUGCCCUAUUUGCAUAAUUAGAUCUUGAAUUGCAUCUAGUUGCCCAAAAUUUGUCAGGAACUUUUCUGAACAAAUCAGAUUGCCUUCGAUUGUGACCAUUGAGCUAUUGGCCAUUGGAUGUGUACUCGUUAAGCAGCUGUGAGCUGAGCCUGGCAAGUUAACUUUGUACUGAAGAACAGAUAAAAGAAAGUGCGAAUGGAUUUUGCGGCGUCUUUGCCACAAGAAACAUUGGACUUCAUUAAGGUGUUAGUCAAUGAUGAUGAAUGGUAACCACAGACACGAGUUUAGCGGCUGUGCAUAUAUCCAUUGUCUUGUGUCUAUCUAACCAGGAGGGGAGCCCUGCAAAACUUCUCUACGCCGCAGUCAAGGCCUUCUUCGGCCCUAACAUACUUCUUGCCAAAGUGUUUCCGUGGUUCCAUAAGUGUAGGGAUGGUGAGGCAAGCAAUGGCCAGAACCUGAUUCCCCCAUUCUUGUACUUUCCAACCAACCAUCUUUGAAUUUGCCUCAAACCUUGUUCGCUGCCUUCAAGUAGUUGCUUGAUUCAUGGUCUCUUGGUAUUGUACCUACGGAGCCGUCGGCCGGGGGAUCGCUAAGAGUUUCCGGUGGACGGGGACAAUUCAGGAAUUGCACUUGCAGAGAACCCAUGAUGGGUUUUAUGAAAAGGGUGUGCCUGGAAGAGCCAUCAAAUUGCUCGAGGACUAUAUAUCUCUAUGCAUCACUACACAACAGACGUGUCGGGUUGAGCAUUGAGAUCUUGAAAAUCAUCGGGAUUAGUUUUGCUCGUGUUCUCUGGAUCCUCGAUGGCUUAACUGGGCUAGGAAAGCAAAAAAUAAAAAGAUGAAGAAGAUCUGUCAGACAACCGCAUGAUCAUCCCCAGCCAGAACAUGACUGGAGAACGAUCCUCUACAGACAUGAUGAUCUCGAGGAUCAUCAAGCCAUUACUCACGCUAUGAUCACACGGUCUUGGUUCAUCAACCAGACUUAGAUUCCUGUCUCCUUAGUGAUAAAGGAUACAGAGGUACGAUCCUAUAGAACAGAUCCUGUUCAAGUAAGGUCGUGCCUGACCCUUUGCCUCCACCGCUUUAUUACUUUGUUUACGCCUUCGUUUGUUUCCGAUGUGGGAUCCUUGUCAAUGCUUCGUUCCAGCCUUCCAGGGUAUUUCUGUCCAAAAGAAGAAAGCUUGCGCGCCUCGUGCUUCUCAUGGUCUUGAGAAAAUACAAACUUUAAUUUAAAGUAAAAAAAAAAUAAAAAAAUUGUAAGGUGAAUAUUGUGUCUGUGGUCAUCUCACAGACCAUUACAUUACAUGUGAACAGAGCAUGACAUUUGUCUUUCUAAUUAUUAAUUUCACAGCCCAAAUCGUGUGUAAUGGCCGUUUCUUACUUGAAAGAAAACAAAAAUGGAUUAAAAUUUUAUUUUAAAUGAGCUCCGUGAAUGGAAGGUUCGCAUUGUCGUAAGAAAUUAAAUUGAAGAGUUUAGCUGAUUAUAAUUCGUUUGAUUUUCUCGAUGAUUAGUAAUUAAUUAAGACUAUCAUAAUACUAAGCAAUCUUUAAAAUAAGAGUUUCUAAAUAUUUGUUAUUUUUUAAAAAGUAUUUAUAUAAUGUAUAUAAAAUAUUCACUUUCAUUACUCUUUUGCAAUUGUUUGGCCAUAUCAAGGGCUGAGGGAACGAUCCUCUGCAGCAAAUAUGAUCACAAGGAUCAUCCACCCAUGACCCACUAUCUGAUCUCACGGUCAUGGCUCAUCAACCAGGUUUGGUUCCUACCUCCCUGGUGUUAGGGGAUAAAGAGGUAUGAUCCUAACAGAGCUGUUUGGAAAAUCAUUUUAAAUAAUGUAUUUUAAAAUUUUGAUUUUUUUAUUAAGUUAUUUUUUAAAUGUUUUUUAAAUUUUUUUAUAAGUUAAUAUCAAAAAUAAUUUUUCAAUAAUAAAAAAUAUUAUUUUAAUGUAUUUUUCAUUAAAAAAAAACUUUAAAAAAUAAUUAGUAUUGAUUAAAUAUGUAAUUGAAAGCGAUACAAUUUGAUAAAAUAAUAAAAAUUAUCAUAAUUUAUUAUUUGUUGUUGAUAACUUUAUACUGAUAUUUUUAUAAAAAAAACCUUUAUCAAAAUUUUAGAAUUUUAGAUUAGAAAACAAUUCUCCUCCUAAUAAUCACAUUGAAAACUGUUUUAAAUGGGAUUGUUACAACAUCUUAUGACCAAACUUUGAUUUUAGUUUAAUUUACCCUCACAACAUGAUUACUAAUUAUUAGUGGCAUAACUUUAAAAAUAAAAAAAAGAAUAAAUAUAUUAUAUUCUUACACACACAUAUAAUAUACACAUAUAAUGACAGAGACAGGGGCUAGUAAAGUCUUGACUACUGCAAGAAAAUGUUUUUUUCUAGUUUUUUUAUUGUCAAUAUUUAUAAUUUUAAUAGUAAAAUAACUAAAAUUUUAGUAUUUUUAAAAUAUAUUUUUUAAUAACCCUUUUUAAAUUAUUUUUUUCUUGCCCCACCCUGUAUAUACACACACCUUUUGGUUGAACUUGAUCAUUGAGAGAGCUUGAAUUUUCUCUUAGUUGCUUUUGUAUUGAGACUGUAUUUAGACUUCGGUAUGUAGGUAUCUCAUGAUCCUAAAUGGCUAUGUAAAUUGGUGUUAGGGCCAUUUUAUGUUUAGUAACCAUGAUUUAUCUGAUAAGAAAAGAAAAAGAAAAAAAGAGCAGAAACGAGUUAUGAAACUUGAGGCCCUUGAAUUAUUUGAAAUCAUUAAAUUUCAUCAUUUUAGUUGCAUGAAUGUGUUAACAAAAUAAUAUAAAAUUAUUUUUAAAUCUUAUUUUUGAAUUAAGAUAGUUUUGUUUGACAAAAAAUGUGUUCAUUGAUCAUAUGAUUCAAAUUGUGUUCAUUGAUCUCUUCAACAUAGCACAUAAUCACAUGUAUGAUUAUUACUUAACUGUGUUUUGAAGAUUUAAUGACAAUGAAUUUUUCGAGUUGUAUUCUUAGAUUCAAAUAUUUUUUCCAAUCAGGACAUAUUUAAAUUUUCAUUAGAGAGAUUAGUUGUGUUAAAACGAAAAAAAAAAAAUAUUUACUAUUUCAAAAAAUUUAAGGGAAAAAAAAUGAGAAAAUCUUCGAUUAAUAAAUUCAUGAACAAAUUAAUAGUUUUGAUCGAAGUAAUCAAAAUAGGAAAUAUGUAUAAGACUAAAAAAGAAAAAGCGCCGUUGCCGGAGAUCGAACCCGGGUCACCCGCGUGACAGGCGGGAAUACUCACCACUAUACUACAACGACUUUGUUGAGAUAAGGGGCAGCUAUUAAAAUAAUUGAUCUAUUUAAUAACUGGAGCAUGCUUAGAAUGUAUGAAAUGCCAUAUGACUAUUUAUUUGACCACUACAAAUGCUAGAAAUUCAAUAUUUUCCAUUGUUUUUUUUUAAAAAAAGCUAGAAUAGUCUAAAGUGUAAAGAUACACAUGGAGUAAUCAAGGUUUUUAAUGUGUAAUAAUAAAAUUCUCAAAUGCUCAAGUUAGUUUUUUAUUGGUUGAUGUAUAAUGCUAUUAAAUAAUCAUAAAAGUCUCGAGAAAAAAACUAUUGAAUAAUCAUAAUUGUUUGUUGGUUGACAUGUAAUGGCAUGGUUCUUGCACAUUAGUGAAAAUGGUCUGUGCAUAAAAAAAAAAUUAUUCCCACAAAAACAUUAUAUGAACAGUUGAGAAAAAAAUGAUUUCUUAUUUGUUUUUUCUUGUAUCGUCAACCAUAAUAUAGAAUCAUUAUACAACGAAUCUCAUUUUUGAACAUUGAGAUCCUGAAAUUUGUCAAUGUUCUUCAGAGAUUACAAGGAGCUGGACUAAAUAAUGAUUUGAUUUAAAGCAAAAAAAUACAUUUAGCCUGUCAGACAACCGCAUGAUCAUCCCCAACCAGAACAUGACUGGAGAACGAUCCUCUACAGCCAUGAUAAUCACAAGAAUCAUCAAGCCAUUACUCACGCUAUGAUCACACGGUCUUGGUUCAUCAACCAGACUUAGGUUCCUGUCUCCUUAGUGUUAAAGGAUACAGAGGUACGAUCCUAUAGAACAGAUCCUGUUCAAGUAAGGUCGU